UGGGGAAUCUUGGACAAUGGGGGCAACCCUGAUCCAGCCAUGCCGCGUGAGUGAUGAAGGCCUUAGGGUCGUAAAGCUCUUUCGCCUGUGAAGAUAAUGACGGUAGCAGGUAAAGAAACCCCGGCUAACUCCGUGCCAGCAGCCGCGGUAAUACGGAGGGGGUUAGCGUUGUUCGGAAUUACUGGGCGUAAAGCGCACGUAGGCGGACCAGAAAGUUGGGGGUGAAAUCCCGGGGGCUCAACCCCGGAACUGCCUCCAAAACUAUUGGUCUAGAGUUCGAGAGAGGUGAGUGGAAUUCCAAGUGUAGAGGUGAAAUUCGUAGAUAUUUGGAGGAACACCAGUGGCGAAGGCGGCUCACUGGCUCGAUACUGACGCUGAGGUGCGAAAGUGUGGGGAGCAAACAGGAUUAGAUACCCUGGUAGUCCACACCGUAAAACGAUGAAUGCCAGUCGUCGGGUAGCAUGCUAUUCGGUGACACACCUAACGGAUUAAGCAUUCCGCCUGGGG
This 507-nucleotide ribosomal RNA is filed under the name uncultured bacterium. RNAcentral's name for it is "bacterial SSU rRNA". It matches the Rfam family "Bacterial small subunit ribosomal RNA", at positions 355 to 878 of the family's 1533-position model. The record is from RNAcentral.